This is a non-coding RNA of Gavia stellata (red-throated loon), 138 nucleotides long. The record is from Rfam. NCBI's taxonomy places the organism in Eukaryota, Metazoa, Chordata, Aves, Gaviiformes, Gaviidae.
UGCAGCCCCGUCAAAUUCAGACUGUGCCUCCUCCGUGGUGGGGACUGGCCAGCCGGCUGCCACGGCAACUUCUGUGGUCUGUGAGCCCUGUGUUCCCUCCCGUGGGACCCUGGGGAUAAAAUAAUGCCACAGACAUUG